GAUGAACGCUGGCGGCGUGCCUAAUACAUGCAAGUCGAGCGAACGGACGAGAAGCUUGCUUCUCUGAUGUUAGCGGCGGACGGGUGAGUAACACGUGGAUAACCUACCUAUAAGACUGGGAUAACUUCGGGAAACCGGAGCUAAUACCGGAUAAUAUUUUGAACCGCAUGGUUCAAAAGUGAAAGACGGUCUUGCUGUCACUUAUAGAUGGAUCCGCGCUGCAUUAUCUAGUUGGUAAGGUAACGGCUUACCAAGGCAACGAUGCAUAGCCGACCUGAGAGGGUGAUCGGCCACACUGGAACUGAGACACGGUCCAGACUCCUACGGGAGGCAGCAGUAGGGAAUCUUCCGCAAUGGGCGAAAGCCUGACGGAGCAACGCCGCGUGAGUGAUGAAGGUCUUCGGAUCGUAAAACUCUGUUAUUAGGGAAGAACAUAUGUGUAAGUAACUGUGCACAUCUUGACGGUACCUAAUCAGAAAGCCACGGCUAACUACGUG
RNAcentral lists this ribosomal RNA (497 nucleotides) under uncultured bacterium. Its description in RNAcentral is "partial 16S ribosomal RNA". It matches the Rfam family "Bacterial small subunit ribosomal RNA", at positions 28 to 507 of the family's 1533-position model. The record is from RNAcentral.